GACGAACGCUGGCGGCGUGCCUAAUACAUGCAAGUCGAGCGAAGUUUUUCUGGUGCUUGCACCGGAAAAACUUAGCGGCGAACGGGUGAGUAACACGUAAAGAACCUGCCUCAUAGACUGGGACAACUAUUGGAAACGAUAGCUAAUACCGGAUAAUAGCAUUAACUGCAUGGUUGAUGUUUAAAAGUUGGUUUUGCUAACACUAUGAGAUGGCUUUGCGGUGCAUUAGCUAGUUGGUGGGGUAAAGGCCUACCAAGGCGACGAUGCAUAGCCGACCUGAGAGGGUGAUCGGCCACACUGGGACUGGGACACGGCCCAGACUCCUACGGGAGGCAGCAGUAGGGAAUCUUCCGCAAUGGGCGAAAGCCUGACGGAGCAACGCCGCGUGAGUGAAGAAGGAUUUCGGUUCGUAAAGCUCUGUUGUUAGGGAAGAAUGAUUGUGUAGUAACUAUACACAGUAGAGACGGUACCUAACCAGAAAGCCACGGCUAACUACGUG
This 499-nucleotide ribosomal RNA is filed under the name uncultured bacterium. RNAcentral describes it as "partial 16S ribosomal RNA". It matches the Rfam family "Bacterial small subunit ribosomal RNA", at positions 28 to 507 of the family's 1533-position model. The record is from RNAcentral.